This 301-nucleotide ribosomal RNA is filed under the name uncultured bacterium. Its description in RNAcentral is "partial 16S ribosomal RNA". It matches the Rfam family "Bacterial small subunit ribosomal RNA", at positions 509 to 807 of the family's 1533-position model. The record is from RNAcentral.
CAGUAGCCGCGGUAAUACGUAGGGUGCGAGCGUUAAUCGGAAUUACUGGGCGUAAAGCGUGCGCAGGCGGCUUUGCAAGACAGAUGUGAAAUCCCCGGGCUCAACCUGGGAACUGCAUUUGUGACUGCAAGGCUAGAGUACGGUAGAGGGGGAUGGAAUUCCGUGUGUAGCAGUGAAAUGCGUAGAUAUGCGGAGGAACACCAAUGGCGAAGGCAAUCCCCUGGACCUGUACUGACGCUCAUGCACGAAAGCGUGGGGAGCAAACAGGAUUAGAUACCCCUGUAGUCCCUGUCUCUUAUAC